This 2284-nucleotide long non-coding RNA is filed under the name Mus musculus (house mouse). Its description in RNAcentral is "predicted gene, 31181 (Gm31181)". Lineage: Eukaryota; Metazoa; Chordata; Mammalia; Rodentia; Muridae. The record is from RNAcentral.
AGACUCUCUGGGGCCCACUGAUUCACGCAGGUGUUUGGGACCAUUUUGUUGAUAAGUCUCCAGCACCAGGCAAGGGGCAACAGCUUGGAAGAUCAGUGCCUGCCAUCCUCUUGCCCUUAUCCCAGGAACACUGGAAGUCACAGUCUGUUCCAGCCAACCCAGAAACAAGAAGACAAGCCGGGUCCUUGCAAGUAAGGAAGGUGCUAUAAACCCAAGUGCCUGUGAGAUCGACAACCCCCCCCCCCAAAAAAAUGAAAGAGCAACAGUCACUUGUUCUACAACUGCUGGACUUGGAUAUCAACUUGAGCAGAUGAAAGGACACUCUGAGUGUUUUCUAACUGGGCUCAGGACUCGUCUCUUCGUGUGAUUUCAAGGUUGAUAUUUGGAUUAGAAUGACUAGGCUGCCCAGCUGUGCCUGUGUGGCACAUUCUGCUCGGAGACUGGUAUGUGCACACAAUGUACACAUGGCCACAAGGACCACAACACACCCAUGGAAGUCAAAGAACAACUUCGUGGAGUCUGUUUCCUUCUUCCACCUUCACUUGGGUUCCAGGAAUCAAACUCGGGUCACCAUGUUUGUACAGCAAGCCCCUUUACCCUAUGAGCCAUCUCAUCAGCCCCAUUUUUCCCUGUACCUGUUGGCCUUCAGUAGGUCUUUUGAAAAAAAAUGUCUACUGAGAUGCUUAACCCAUUGUUUACUGGGCUAUUCUCUUUCUUGUUUUUUUUUGGGGGGGAGGGGGGCUUCUUAUAUCUUUUAGACAAGACCCACCUGUCAGCCUGCAUGUUUGCAAAUAUUUUCUCCCACUCUGUAGGUUAUCUCUUCGCUCGGUGAGUUGCUUCGUCUACAAUGCAAAGCACUUCAGGCUAAUGAGAUCCCAUUUGUCUGUGGUGGCUUUCCCUGCCUGUACUUUCAGGCUCGUACCCAUAAAACCUCCCUAUUAAGUUUCUUAUUAACAGUCGCAACAUUAGCCCUACAUAUUUAAUAAGAUGAUGAGGACCAAAUUUGGUAAUUUCCUAAAAUGCAUCCACCCUCCCCAACUCUGGGACCUUUGAAGUUAUUCAUUUACAUGAGUCAGGAAAACAAUGCCAUAAAAACCCAAAAUAUAUGUCAGUAAGUAACUUUCCCAGUUAAUAAAGCACAAAGAAAUGCUUCUAUGUUCCUAGCUAGGAACAAACACACACCAAUUGUAUUUUCCAACUCUUAUAAGAAGUAACAUUUUUCCCUAGAAGAGAUGUUACACACUGGUUUUUCAUCCAAAAGGGAGAACAUAUUAACUUAUAUCCAAAGAGAACAAUGGUGUGGCUUGAACGGGGCAUGCCACACACAGGCUAAUGUGUUUGAACAUCUGGACCCAGCUAGCUGCACUGUUGCAAAACCUUUAGGAGGUAGAGCCUCAUGGAGUCAAGCCUUGAGGAUUGAUAUCCACACACACACUCCCUACUUCCUGGUCAUGCUGUGUUUUCUAGCUAUAGAUGUGUCGUCCUAUUGAGAGAGCAGCUAUCUGUACUCCUGAUGCCAUGCUGUGGUAGCUAAUCUAGGUUGUCAACUUGACACACUAGAGAAGAGGGAACCCCAGUUGAACUGCCUCCAUCAAACUGACCUGUGGCCACAUCUGUGAGACAUUUUAUUACUGAUUGAUGCUUCGGCAGGUGGUGUUGUCUCAUGACUAGUCAGCCUGGACUGUGUAAGAGAGGUAGCUGGGCAUGAAUUUCAAAGAAGCAGGUCAGUAAGCAGUAUUCCUCCUCCAUUGUUUCUGCUUCAAGCUCCUUGAGUUCUACCUUAGCAUCUGUAUUAGGGUUCUCUAGAGUCACAGAACUUAUAGUCUCUAUAUAGUAAAGGAAUUUAUUGAUGACUUACAGUCUGCAAUGCUGUGAAUGGAAGUCCAAGGAUCUAGCAGUUGCUCAGUCCCACAUGGCAAGCAGGCGAAAGAGUGAGAGUGAGACUCCCUUCUUCCAAUGUCCUUAUAUGGUCUCCAGCAGAAGGUGUAGCCCAGAUUAAAGGUGUGUGCUACCACAACUUUAAUCCCAGAUGACCUUGAACUCGGAGAUUUCCCUGUCUUAAUCUUCUGGAAUCCAUAGUCAGUAUGUCUCAAGUUCUCCAUACCAAGAUCCAGAUCAGAAACUUUCAUCUCCCAACCUCCAGAUUAGGGUCACUGGUGAGCCUUCCAAUUCUGGAUUGUAGUUCAUUCCAGAUAUAGUCAAGUUGACAACCAGGAAUAGCCACUACAGCAUCCCUCAAUGAUGGACCCUAACUUGUUAAAUGAAAUAAAACCUUUUCUCCACA